This 497-nucleotide ribosomal RNA is filed under the name uncultured bacterium. Its description in RNAcentral is "partial 16S ribosomal RNA". It matches the Rfam family "Bacterial small subunit ribosomal RNA", at positions 28 to 507 of the family's 1533-position model. The record is from RNAcentral.
GAUGAACGCUGGCGGCGUGCCUAAUACAUGCAAGUCGAGCGAACGGACGAGAAGCUUGCUUCUCUGAUGUUAGCGGCGGACGGGUGAGUAACACGUGGAUAACCUACCUAUAAGACUGGGAUAACUUCGGGAAACCGGAGCUAAUACCGGAUAAUAUUUUGAACCGCAUGGUUCAAAAGUGAAAGACGGUCUUGCUGUCACUUAUAGAUGGAUCCGCGCUGCAUUAGCUAGUUGGUAAGGUAACGGCUUACCAAGGCAACGAUGCAUAGCCGACCUGAGAGGGGGAUCGGCCACACUGGAACUGAGACAAGGUCCAGACUCCUAAGGGAGGGAGCAGUAGGGAAUCUUUCGCAAUGGGCGAAAGCCUGACGGAGCAACGCCGCGUGAGUGAUGAAGGUCUUCGGAUCGUAAAACUCUGUUAUUAGGGAAGAACAUAUGUGUAAGUAACUGUGCACAUCUUGACGGUACCUAAUCAGAAAGCCACGGCUAACUACGUG